Molecule: ribosomal RNA, 474 nt
Filed under: Triticum aestivum (bread wheat)
Lineage: Eukaryota; Viridiplantae; Streptophyta; Magnoliopsida; Poales; Poaceae
Description: partial small subunit ribosomal RNA
Source: RNAcentral
GAAAAUGUAUGUCUAUUUAAAUCGCACAUAAAAAAAUCCGGUCAAAUUUUCAUUGUAAAUAUGAAUUCCUUUGUUAUAAGAGCCGCUAAAUCUUAUUUGACCACUACAGGAGCAACUGUUAAUGGUCAUUAUGGAGAAAUCCUUUACAAGGGAGAUAGGUUAGUUACGUUUGUAUAAGAAAAAUCGAGAUCUAGUGACAUAACGCAAAGUCUUCCGAAAGUGGAACAAAUCUUUGAAGCACGUUCAAUUGAUUCAUUAUCCCCGAAUCUCGAAAGGAGAAUUGAGGAUUGGAAUGAGCUUAUACCAAGAAUUCUUGGGGUCCCUUGGGGAUUCUUGAUUGGAGCUGAUAUAAAGAUCAGAUUUGUUAUUAAACCGAAGGGUCGUAAGGACAUCUCCAAUGGCAACCCGCAAAUUUCCUUCCGCAUCCCUCCGCAGACUGGUCCACGGACAUGGAUGCGGGGGUUCCAGUGCUAG